Molecule: ribosomal RNA, 487 nt
Filed under: Staphylococcus capitis
Lineage: Bacteria; Bacillati; Bacillota; Bacilli; Caryophanales; Staphylococcaceae
Description: bacterial SSU rRNA
Rfam family: Bacterial small subunit ribosomal RNA
Source: RNAcentral
UUUAGAGUUUUGGAUCCUGGCUCAGGAUGAACGCUGGCGGCGUGCCUAAUACAUGCAAGUCGAGCGAACAGACGAGGAGCUUGCUCCUCUGACGUUAGCGGCGGACGGGUGAGUAACACGUGGAUAACCUACCUAUAAGACUGGGAUAACUUCGGGAAACCGGAGCUAAUACCGGAUAAUAUAUUGAACCGCAUGGUUCAAUAGUGAAAGACGGUUUUGCUGUCACUUAUAGAUGGAUCCGCGCCGCAUUAGCUAGUUGGUAAGGUAACGGCUUACCAAGGCAACGAUGCGUAGCCGACCUGAGAGGGUGAUCGGCCACACUGGAACUGAGACACGGUCCAGACUCCUACGGGAGGCAGCAGUAGGGAAUCUUCCGCAAUGGGCGAAAGCCUGACGGAGCAACGCCGCGUGAGUGAUGAAGGUCUUCGGAUCGUAAAACUCUGUUAUUAGGGAAGAACAAAUGUGUAAGUAACUAUGCACGUCUGAC